UCUGAAGUGUCAAACAUUAUCUCGACCACUAUAAUAUUGUUCGAAAGUUAUGUAUAGAAACAAAACACCGCGAUACUAUAGUGUUAUAGGUAGCUAUUAUUAAUGUCUACUUAACAAUUUAACAAAUUAUGUGUCGCAUAUUCGCUCAGAAAACAAUAACAGUUACUAACUUUUACGUAUCCCGUCAGUCACGACUGCAGCACUUCCUAUUAUAUUUUCCAAG
This is a non-coding RNA of Cinara cedri, 223 nucleotides long. The record is from the annotation of a GenBank genome assembly. Lineage: Eukaryota; Metazoa; Arthropoda; Insecta; Hemiptera; Aphididae.